GGAUUGCAGGCUGAAACCCGCCUGCAUGAAGUUGGAAUCGCUAGUAAUCGCGGAUCAGCAUGCCGCGGUGAAUACGUUCCCGGGCCUUGUACACACCGCCCGUCACACCAUGAGAGUCGGGAACACCCGAAGUCCGUAGUCUAACCGCAAGGGGACGCGGCCGAAGGUGGGUUCGAUAAUUGGGGUGAAGUCGUAACAAGGUAGC
This 205-nucleotide ribosomal RNA is filed under the name uncultured bacterium. RNAcentral describes it as "partial 16S ribosomal RNA". It matches the Rfam family "Bacterial small subunit ribosomal RNA", at positions 1295 to 1500 of the family's 1533-position model. The record is from RNAcentral.